This is a long non-coding RNA of Mytilus trossulus (common blue mussel), 490 nucleotides long. RefSeq lists it as uncharacterized. The record is from RefSeq and is a predicted model, not a curated record. Lineage: Eukaryota; Metazoa; Mollusca; Bivalvia; Mytilida; Mytilidae. The transcript has 2 exons.
UAUGUUGUUACCUCCUAAUUGUGAUUUUAUUUGUUAAAAAAAUGUCAUUGAAGAUCUAGUUGAUGAUAACACAUAUUUUCAUUAUCACAUAGUUGUGUAUAUCUCAAGGUUAUACCGCUUGAAAUUAAAGAAACAGUAAUAUUACAGGCUUAUUUACAGUUUUAGAAUCAAUUAUAACAUGGCUAUCUAUUGUUUGAGAUGCAGAAAAAAUACUCCAACUAGAGGUGCAAGGAUUAUUGUAGUCAGAGACAGAAAUGGGACUCCGCAUCAGACGACAGUUGGUUUUUGUGGAGUAUGUGGAUCUGAAAAACGACAGUUUAUUAACUGAAUGUUGUACUGCACAUUUCUUGAUGGCAACAUGCAUGACAUCUUGGACAAAUGAUUAACAAUCUUCCAAAUUUAUUUCAGUUUAUAAACAUGGUAAAUAAUUUUGAUUAACACACAAGUGUACAUGUAUAUGAUCGUUAUAAUAUAAAACAUAAGUUUAUAA